Molecule: transfer RNA, 76 nt
Filed under: Gemmata obscuriglobus
Lineage: Bacteria; Pseudomonadati; Planctomycetota; Planctomycetia; Gemmatales; Gemmataceae
Also listed under: 4 other names
Description: tRNA-Ala
Rfam family: tRNA
About the family: Transfer RNA (tRNA) molecules are approximately 80 nucleotides in length. Their secondary structure includes four short double-helical elements and three loops (D, anti-codon, and T loops). Further hydrogen bonds mediate the characteristic L-shaped molecular structure. tRNAs have two regions of fundamental functional importance: the anti-codon, which is responsible for specific mRNA codon recognition, and the 3' end, to which the tRNAs corresponding amino acid is attached (by aminoacyl-tRNA synthetases). tRNAs cope with the degeneracy of the genetic code in two manners: having more than one tRNA (with a specific anti-codon) for a particular amino acid; and 'wobble' base-pairing, i.e. permitting non-standard base-pairing at the 3rd anti-codon position.
Source: RNAcentral
GGGGGUGUAGCUCAGUUGGUAGAGCGCUUGAAUGGCAUUCAAGAGGUCAGGAGUUCAACUCUCCUCACCUCCACCU